GACGUAGGGGGCGAGCGUUGUCCGGAUUCACUGGGCGUAAAGCGCGCGUAGGCGGCUCGUUAAGUCGGAUGUGAAAACCCGGGGCUCAACCCCGGGCCUGCACCCGAUACUGGCGAGCUGGAGGCAGGUAGGGGAGAUCGGAAUUCCCGGUGUAGCGGUGAAAUGCGUAGAUAUUGGGAGGAACACCAGUGGCGAAGGCGGCUCACUGGACCGGAACUGACGCUGAGGAGCGAAAGCGUGGGGAGCGAACAGG
Molecule: ribosomal RNA, 253 nt
Filed under: uncultured bacterium
Lineage: Bacteria
Description: partial 16S ribosomal RNA
Rfam family: Bacterial small subunit ribosomal RNA
Source: RNAcentral